Molecule: ribosomal RNA, 459 nt
Filed under: Streptococcus pneumoniae
Lineage: Bacteria; Bacillati; Bacillota; Bacilli; Lactobacillales; Streptococcaceae
Description: bacterial SSU rRNA
Rfam family: Bacterial small subunit ribosomal RNA
Source: RNAcentral
GACGAACGCUGGCGGCGUGCCUAAUACAUGCAAGUAGAACGCUGAAGGAGGAGCUUGCUUCUCUGGAUGAGUUGCGAACGGGUGAGUAACGCGUAGGUAACCUGCCUGGUAGCGGGGGAUAACUAUUGGAAACGAUAGCUAAUACCGCAUAAGAGUGGAUGUUGCAUGACAUUUGCUUAAAAGGUGCACUUGCAUCACUACCAGAUGGACCUGCGUUGUAUUAGCUAGUUGGUGGGGUAACGGCUCACCAAGGCGACGAUACAUAGCCGACCUGAGAGGGUGAUCGGCCACACUGGGACUGAGACACGGCCCGGACUCCUACGGGAGGCAGCAGUAGAGAAUCUUCGGCAAUGGACGGAAGUCUGACCGAGCAACGCCGCGUGAGUGAAGAAGGUUUUCGGAUCGUAAAGCUCUGUUGUAAGAGAAGAACGAGUGUGAGAGUGGAAAGUUCACACUGUG